RNAcentral lists this ribosomal RNA (253 nucleotides) under uncultured bacterium. Its description in RNAcentral is "partial 16S ribosomal RNA". It matches the Rfam family "Bacterial small subunit ribosomal RNA", at positions 524 to 776 of the family's 1533-position model. The record is from RNAcentral.
UACGGAGGGUGCAAGCGUUAUCCGGAUUUACUGGGUUUAAAGGGUGCGUAGGUGGAGUGGUAAGUCAGUGGUGAAAUCUCCAAGCUUAACUUGGAAACUGCCGUUGAUACUAUCAUUCUUGAAUAUCGUGGAGGUAAGCGGAAUAUGUCAUGUAGCGGUGAAAUGCUUAGAUAUGACAUAGAACACCGAUUGCGAAGGCAGCUUGCUACACGAUCAUUGACACUGAGGCACGAAAGUGUGGGGAUCAAACAGG